GGACCUCUAGCUCAGUUGGUUAGAGCCCCCGGCUCAUAACCGGGUUGUCGCAGGUUCGAGUCCUGCGAGGUCCA
This 74-nucleotide transfer RNA is filed under the name Firmicutes bacterium CAG:460. It matches the Rfam family "tRNA". From Rfam's summary of the family: Transfer RNA (tRNA) molecules are approximately 80 nucleotides in length. Their secondary structure includes four short double-helical elements and three loops (D, anti-codon, and T loops). The record is from Rfam by way of RNAcentral. Lineage: Bacteria; Bacillati; Bacillota.